This is a non-coding RNA of Chrysemys picta bellii (western painted turtle), 1030 nucleotides long. The record is from RefSeq and is a predicted model, not a curated record. Lineage: Eukaryota; Metazoa; Chordata; Testudines; Emydidae.
AGCAGAGCACCACACCGGUAGCAUCUGACAACACUGGUGACCCCGACCACUGAUCUGGUUUCCACCUUUGGCUCCCAAACAUAACAAAGCAUCAUGAAAGUAUACCCUCAAAUACCCUCAAAGUACUGUAUUUAAAAUUUAUUUUUGUUUAAUUUUAUAGUUGGUUUAAUUUUAUAUGCUUUUCUUUUGUUAUGUUAUGUUAAUGGGAAGCAAUGGUUGUUAAAGUUUGUGCAUCUAAACAGUUAACAAAAGUGAAAUUGGUAUCACAAGCAAAUUAACUCUAAAAAGCUUGGUAAAAAUUCUGUUAACUCCUUUGCUGAAACAAAUUGUUCAGCAAGGGAAAGAAAUACACCUUCUUAUGGAAGAUUGUGAGCAUUUAUUUUAGCUGUUAAGCAUUACAUUUUGUAUAAAAAUAUUAGUAAUGCACAUCAAAUGAAAAAGAAUGUCUAUACAACAAUUGCAAAAGUAUAGCUUGUGUUAUAAAAGGCUCGGUCCCUAUUACCUUGUUCUUAUUACAUUGUAAACAAACUAAGUUAAACUGUGUAUUAAGUUUGAGUUACUGAAAACAAAAACAAAAACAAAAAACAAAAACUUUACUCUGUUUACUAACAAAAGUUGUUUGAGUUGCAUCCCACAGACUAAAGACACCAGAAGACAUCACGCCACAAAAAUACCAGAUGAUAUCAGUAUAUAGUAAAGAAACCCACAAGCAUCAAGAAAAGAAAAAUGAAGAGCUUUAUAAAUAAGAGACUGGUCAAAUACACCUCUAUCUACCAUAUAUGGACAAUUAACUUAACAAUCAGCUAAAAAACCACUAGCUGGACCAAAAUAAGCCAUCAUUUAAUUUCAACUUGGGUACUAUGUAAAAACAACUGUAUUAUUGCUGUACUGCUGUAUUAUUGUUGUACUGUUGUCUUAUUGCUGUAUUGUAAUAUUGCUGUACAACAUUUACAAUGUGCAUAACCUUGCUAAACUGUUUAACCAAUACACAGGUAAAAAUCAACAAACAAAUGGCAGCAAACAACAUGAA